UACGUAGGGUGCGAGCGCUAAUCGGAAUUACUGGGCGUAAAGCGUGCGCAGGCGGUUCGUCGUGUCCGAUGUGAAAGCCCCGGGCUCAACCUGGGAAUGGCAUUGGAAACUGGCGGACUCGAGUGUGGCAGAGGGGGGUGGAAUUCCGCGUGUAGCAGUGAAAUGCGUAGAGAUGCGGAGGAACACCGAUGGCGAAGGCAGCCCCCUGGGCUAACACUGACGCUCAGGCACGAAAGCGUGGGGAGCAAACAGG
RNAcentral lists this ribosomal RNA (253 nucleotides) under uncultured bacterium. RNAcentral's name for it is "partial 16S ribosomal RNA". It matches the Rfam family "Bacterial small subunit ribosomal RNA", at positions 524 to 776 of the family's 1533-position model. The record is from RNAcentral.